GCGGGCAUAGUUUAAUGGUAAAACCUUAGCCUUCCAAGCUAAUGUUGUCGGUUCGAUUCCGUCUGCCCGCUUCA
RNAcentral lists this transfer RNA (74 nucleotides) under Parathermosynechococcus lividus PCC 6715. RNAcentral describes it as "tRNA-Gly". It matches the Rfam family "tRNA". From Rfam's summary of the family: Transfer RNA (tRNA) molecules are approximately 80 nucleotides in length. Lineage: Bacteria; Bacillati; Cyanobacteriota; Cyanophyceae; Acaryochloridales; Thermosynechococcaceae. The record is from RNAcentral.